UUGUUCUGGCUAAUUCUGUUCAGCCUUCUGUUCAAUUCUGUAUGGUCUGGGUAUGACCUCCUCCCUAUGUUCUUCUUCUUCUUCGAAAUCUAGAUGAUUUCUCCAGUUUGCUCCAAGCCUAUUCCUAUCAUUAUUGGCAAAAGGGUUAAUUCCUCCUCUGCCUCUUCUCCUUCUUGCUAGUGGGGGAACUAUAAGGCAACACUAUUGGCUGUUUAGGCAGAUGUACCAUCGGUUGGCCAGGUGGAACAGGUGAAAGUUCUGGUUGAUUUUGGGGAGCCUGAACUGGUGCUGGACCUGCUGGAAGAAUUAGAGCUUCCUAUUCUUAAAUUACAAGGUCUCUUCCUCUUUGUCCAACCUGGAUCUAUGCCUGUCCAUGCACUCCAACCUUCUGUGCAAUGAGGGGAUUUUCCUGGUAUGGCCAUGCCAAUCCUAAUGGAGGUCUAAAAGGGAGUUCUAGCUGUUGGACUACAACAUUUGGAUUUGGAUUUCUUGCAACAGCAGCCUCACGAUCCUCCUUGAACUACUUGUUGACCUGCAAUUGCAUCAUGGCUGUCAUGUUGUUCAGAGUGUCCUG
RNAcentral lists this long non-coding RNA (574 nucleotides) under Prunus persica (peach). Its description in RNAcentral is "long non-coding RNA (PPER_LNC008178)". The record is from RNAcentral. Lineage: Eukaryota; Viridiplantae; Streptophyta; Magnoliopsida; Rosales; Rosaceae.